GUAUAAUGGAAAUAGAUUUUAAUCGCAGGCGCGUCAGUGGUUGAAUUAAAAUUCAUUUUCAUUUGCAG
Molecule: non-coding RNA, 68 nt
Organism: Drosophila melanogaster (fruit fly)
Lineage: Eukaryota; Metazoa; Arthropoda; Insecta; Diptera; Drosophilidae
Source: Ensembl